Molecule: ribosomal RNA, 301 nt
Filed under: uncultured bacterium
Lineage: Bacteria
Description: partial 16S ribosomal RNA
Rfam family: Bacterial small subunit ribosomal RNA
Source: RNAcentral
CAGUCGCCGCGGUAAUACAGAGGGUGCGAGCGUUAAUCGGAUUUACUGGGCGUAAAGCGUGCGUAGGCGGCUAAUUGAGUCGGAUGUGAAAUCCCCGAGCUUAACUUGGGAAUUGCAUUCGAUACUGGUUAGCUAGAGUGUGGGAGAGGAUGGUAGAAUUCCAGGUGUAGCGGUGAAAUGCGUAGAGAUCUGGAGGAAUACCGAUGGCGAAGGCAGCCAUCUGGCCUAAUACUGACGCUGAGGUACGAAAGCAUGGGGAGCAAACAGGAUUAGAGACCCGAGUAGUCCAUGUCUCUUAUAC